CCUACGGGAGGCAGCAGUGGGGAAUAUUGGACAAUGGGGGAAACCCUUAUCCAGCGACGCCGCGUGAGGGAAGAAGGUUUUCGGAUUUUAAACCUCUGUCAGUGGGGACGAUAAUGACGGUACCCACGGAGGAAGCCACGGCUAACUACGUGCCAGCAGCCGCGGUAAUACGUAGGUGGCAAGCGUUGUCCGGAAUUACUGGGUGUAAAGGGAGCGUAGGCGGGAUGUCAAGUCAGAAGUGAAAAUUAUGGGCUCAACUGAUAAACUGCUUUUGAUACUGAUAUUCUUGAGUGAAGGAGCGGGAAGAGGAAUGCAUAGUGGAGCGGGGAAAUGCGUAGAUAGUAGGAAGAACAACGAGGGCGAAGGCAGCUUGCUAAGCUACUACUGACGUUGAGGCACGAAAGCGUGGGGAGCAAACAGGAUUAGAGACCCUGGUAGUC
Molecule: ribosomal RNA, 440 nt
Filed under: uncultured bacterium
Lineage: Bacteria
Description: partial 16S ribosomal RNA
Rfam family: Bacterial small subunit ribosomal RNA
Source: RNAcentral